GGCUCAGUAGCUCAGUUGGUUAGAGCGCGGGACUCAUAAGCCUGAAGUCGUUGGUUCAAAUCCGACCUGAGCCA
This 74-nucleotide transfer RNA is filed under the name Aerosakkonema funiforme FACHB-1375. It matches the Rfam family "tRNA". Rfam says of the family: Transfer RNA (tRNA) molecules are approximately 80 nucleotides in length. Lineage: Bacteria; Bacillati; Cyanobacteriota; Cyanophyceae; Aerosakkonematales; Aerosakkonemataceae. The record is from Rfam by way of RNAcentral.